This is a non-coding RNA of Cinara cedri, 1278 nucleotides long. NCBI's taxonomy places the organism in Eukaryota, Metazoa, Arthropoda, Insecta, Hemiptera, Aphididae. The record is from the annotation of a GenBank genome assembly.
GUCAUUUAUCCUACCGCAGGCUCACUUAAAGGGAUAAAUUAAUUUGAUUGCGCUGUAUUUUUAUAUUUAAAUGCAACGUGUGAAAAAUACAAAAAAACUUUCCUACGCUCUUAAUGUCGUACGAAAAAUGUGUGCGACCUCAAGUAUUUUAUUUUUUUAGUAUAACGUGACCGAAGUGGUGUAAGAAUGCAUUGCACGCAUACGUAUCGUUUAGACCCGCAAAAUAAAAAUAAAAAAACGACGAAAAUCGCCCUAUUCUUCGUUGCGAUCGAAUAAUUAUCAACUUCAAAUAUCCCGUGUUGUCGUUCGCUCUAACUGUACGCGUUUGUUUCGCGCGGAAUAUCGCGGAGAAUUUACUGGGAUUACUUACUAUUGACAAACGAAAUAUUUCGGAUCCGUCAAAAAAAAAACCCACAUUUAUAAUAAUAAUUAAAACGGAUGGAACCGAUAAGAAAUACAGCCGAACACAAAUUUGAAAAAGUUUUAGACGUAUUAUUUUAUUCGAAACGGAUUGUAUACCAAUUGGCCAAAAUAUUAUACAAUUACCGCGACUGUAUUGACUGUAUAUUAUAUUGAAAUUCGUAUAAUUCAGUUGGUAGACCGUGAAAAAAAAAAAAAAACCGUACUCGUCUGUAUACCUCCUCCUCCUGGACAGCGGUUCCUAAACGGUGAAGCGCGCCACGCACGGACGGCUUACGACCGCUCACCAGUGGAAUAAACAUCAUUGUUGGGGCGGCGGCGAGGAGAUUUUUUCCGAUAACGAAACAACACUACAAUUUUUAAUCCAUAAUACUUUAUGUCUCCUAAACGCAGGGGGCAGGCAUGGCGUUUAGAAGGGGUCGGGGCAUGGGGGGCCAUGUCCCCCUAGACAACAAACUACCUGUUAAUAAUAAUUUCUUUCAGAAAUUUGUGUACAGAAGUUCAGAGUGUUAAUAGAUAAUAAUCACGGCCUCUGCAGACAGUUGUGCUAUCGCGUUAAGCGGCCGGGGAACGCAUUGACUGACUGACCCAUCUGGUCAUGUGAGUCAAAAAUAUGAUUUUUGACACAAAAGGAUUUUGUCCCCACUUCCCCCUAGAAAACGAACCUAAUCCGCAUCCGGCUGAAGGCCUAUGUAAACGGUUCUAUUUGUUAUAUGGAUGCUUGAAUUUAAAAAAAGUUUGGGAACUGCUGUCUACACGAUAAAAACGGGUUUAUUAUUUUUGCAACAAUGUUUUAAUUUUUUUUUCGUACCGAAUUACUUACUAUUAUUGUUUACUGCGUUUACCGCGUGUGCUGUC